AACUAACAAGGAUUCCCCUAGUAACUGCGAGUGAAGCGGGAAAAGCUCAAAUUUAAAAUCUGGCAGUCUUUGGCUGUCCGAGUUGUAAUCUAGAGAAGUAUUAUCCGCGCUGGACCGUGUACAAGUCUCCUGGAAUGGAGCGUCAUAGAGGGUGAGAAUCCCGUCUUUGACACGGACUGCCAGGGCUUUGUGAUAUGCUCUCAAAGAGUCGAGUUGUUUGGGAAUGCAGCUCAAAAUGGGUGGUAAAUUCCAUCUAAAGCUAAAUAUUGGCGAGAGACCGAUAGCGAACAAGUACCGUGAGGGAAAGAUGAAAAGAACUUUGGAAAGAGAGUUAAACAGUACGUGAAAUUGCUGAAAGGGAAACGCUUGAAGUCAGUCGCGUUGGCCAGGGAUCAACCUUGCUUUUUUGCUUGGCUUACUUUCUGGUUGAUGGGUCAGCAUCAAUUUUGACUGGUGGAAAAAGUUCAAGGGAAUGUGGCAUCUUCGGAUGUGUUAUAGCCUUUGUUCACAUACAUUGGUUGGGAUUGAGGAACUCAGCACGCCGCAAGGCCGGGUUUUUAACCACGUACGUGCUUAGGAUGCUGGCAUAAUGGCUUUAAUCGACCCGUCUUGAAACACGGACCAAGGAGUCUAACAUGCCUGCGAGUAUUUGGGUGAAAAACCCAAGUGCGUAAUGAAAGUGAAAGUUGAGAUCCCUGUCGUGGGGAGCAUUGACGCCCGGAUCUGACCUUUUGUGACGAUUCUGCGGUAGAGCAUGUAUGUUGGGACCCGAAAGAUGGUGAACUAUGCCUGAAUAGGGUGAAGCCAGAGGAAACUCUGGUGGAGGCUCGUAGCGAUUCUGACGUGCAAAUCGAUCGUCAAAUUUGGGUAUAGGGGCGAAAGACUAAUCGAACCAUCUAGUAGCUGGUC
Molecule: ribosomal RNA, 909 nt
Filed under: Laccaria gomezii
Lineage: Eukaryota; Fungi; Basidiomycota; Agaricomycetes; Agaricales; Hydnangiaceae
Description: partial large subunit ribosomal RNA
Rfam family: Eukaryotic large subunit ribosomal RNA
Source: RNAcentral